GACGAACGCUGGCGGCGUGCUUAACACAUGCAAGUCGAGCGGAAAGGCCCUGCUUGCAGGGUACUCGAGUGGCGAACGGGUGAGUAACACGUGGGUGAUCUGCCCUGCACUUCGGGAUAAGCCUGGGAAACUGGGUCUAAUACCGGAUAGGAGCCAUUUUUAGUGUGAUGGUUGGAAAGUUUUUUCGGUGUAGGAUGAGCUCGCGGCCUAUCAGCUUGUUGGUGGGGUAAUGGCCUACCAAGGCGGCGACGGGUAGCCGGCCUGAGAGGGUGGACGGCCACAUUGGGACUGAGAUACGGCCCAGACUCCUACGGGAGGCAGCGGUGGGGAAUAUUGCACAAUGGGCGCAAGCCUGAUGCAGCGACGCCGCGUGGGGGAUGACGGCCUUCGGGUUGUAAACUCCUUUCGCUAGGGACGAAGCUUUUUGUGACGGUACCUAGAUAAGAAGCACCGGCUAACUACGUG
Molecule: ribosomal RNA, 465 nt
Filed under: uncultured bacterium
Lineage: Bacteria
Description: partial 16S ribosomal RNA
Rfam family: Bacterial small subunit ribosomal RNA
Source: RNAcentral